GAUGAACGCUGGCGGCGUGCCUAAUACAUGCAAGUCGAGCGAACAGACGAGGAGCUUGCUCCUCUGACGUUAGCGGCGGACGGGUGAGUAACACGUGGAUAACCUACCUAUAAGACUGGGAUAACUUCGGGAAACCGGAGCUAAUACCGGAUAAUAUAUUGAACCGCAUGGUUCAAUAGUGAAAGACGGUUUUGCUGUCACUUAUAGAUGGAUCCGCGCCGCAUUAGCUAGUUGGUAAGGUAACGGCUUACCAAGGCAACGAUGCGUAGCCGACCUGAGAGGUUGAUCGGCCACACUGGAACUGAGACACGGUCCAGACUCCUACGGGAGGCAGCAGUAGGGAAUCUUCCGCAAUGGGCGAAAGCCUGACGGAGCAACGCCGCGUGAGUGAUGAAGGUCUUCGGAUCGUAAAACUCUGUUAUUAGGGAAGAACAAGUGUGUAAGUAACUAUGCACGUCUUGACGGUACCUAAUCAGAAAGCCACGGCUAACUACGUG
This 497-nucleotide ribosomal RNA is filed under the name uncultured bacterium. Its description in RNAcentral is "partial 16S ribosomal RNA". It matches the Rfam family "Bacterial small subunit ribosomal RNA", at positions 28 to 507 of the family's 1533-position model. The record is from RNAcentral.